UCCUGGUUAGCUCAGUCGGUGAAGCGCUCCAGUGGAAAUGGAGAGGUUCCUGGUUUGAUACCAGAACCAGGCG
RNAcentral lists this transfer RNA (73 nucleotides) under Ixodes scapularis (black-legged tick). RNAcentral's name for it is "tRNA-Ser". Lineage: Eukaryota; Metazoa; Arthropoda; Arachnida; Ixodida; Ixodidae. The record is from RNAcentral.